Molecule: ribosomal RNA, 377 nt
Filed under: uncultured bacterium
Lineage: Bacteria
Description: bacterial SSU rRNA
Rfam family: Bacterial small subunit ribosomal RNA
Source: RNAcentral
AGACGAACCGUCCGAACGUUAUUCGGUAUCACUGGGCUUAAAGCGUGCGUAGGCGGCCUGGUAGGUGAGAUGUGAAAGCCCACGGCUCAACCGUGGAAUUGCGUUUCAAACCACCAGGCUGGAGGAUGGCAGGGGUGAUGGGAACUGAUGGUGGAGCGGUGAAAUGCGUUGAUAUCAUCAGGAACACCGGUGGCGAAGGCGCAUCACUGGGCCAUUUCUGACGCUGAGGCACGAAAGCUAGGGUAGCGAACGGGAUUAGAUACCCCGGUAGUCCUAGCUGUAAACGAUGAGCACUGGGUUGAGGGGACUUCCACAUCCUCUCGGCCGUAGCGAAAGCGUUAAGUGCUCCGCCUGGGGAGUAUGGCCGCAAGGCUGAA